Long non-coding RNA from Equus asinus (donkey), 2004 nucleotides. The record is from Ensembl. Lineage: Eukaryota; Metazoa; Chordata; Mammalia; Perissodactyla; Equidae.
UCCUUUGUCUCCCUGAGGAUAUUCCAGUCGGCUCUGUCCCUUGGGUCAGCGCUCAAAUCAGAAGAAAAUCCAGCUGAUAGUCCUUGUCACAUGGGGACAGCGAGGACCUCAGGGCCAGAACAGAUUUUUCAGUUAAUUAUUAAGAAGCCGCUCCCAGGAGGGGCAGCAGCGGGGAGCGCUUCCUGGUGUGUAGAGAAAGGCAGGCGCACGUGAGAAUACAGGCGGGCAAUUCUGUAAUACCACGUUUUGCCUGCAGAGGGCAACAUCUCUCUAGCAAUGACCACACCACAAGCGAGACUGCAGGAAAGAGAUUUAAUUGGCCAAGAAACAAGGGUUUUGUUUAAAAAAAAAAUCAGAUCAAUAUAUUUCCAGUAAGCAAUUUCCACCCCUUCAUUUUUAUAUAGAGAUGUUGCUUUUUUCUAUUUACAGUGUACAUAGUGAGUUUUUAACAAAUAAAUACUUACAGAUUGGUCAACUGGUUAAAGAUAACCUGACUUGCCUGAGGCAUGGAAAAUACAGGAUGAAAUAGGAGAAAAGGAACCAGGGAUUGGUGAAUGCACAUGGAAAAGCACUUUCCUUUCUGGUUAAUAGCUUGCUCAGGAAAAAAAAAAUGCAUUUGAAAAUUUCCAAAAGAUCUUUCUCCAAGAGCAAACUAUUAUUAAUCUAAUUCUUUAAAAAGAAACAAAAAAUAAAACAGUAAUUGGUUUUAUAAAUCUUCCCCUUCAUUUCAAAGUCCAUCCUACACACAUUAGAUCAACGAGUUCCGGCUUUACGCAGAUUUCUACAUGUUUAAAGCUUUUAGAUUUAGAUUCAUCCCUCUCAGAUGCAUUGAUUCUGAGGCGCCUCCCCCCUUGCCCCUCCUAGACUCCGCAGAGACUGGCUGAAGCCAGCAAAGUUCACCCACCACUGAGAAGGGACCGUGGAGAUUAGUGUCACCAGGCAGCCCUGAGCCCACAGGCGGGCAGCCCCGCAUGGUGGCUGGCCCCGCAGUAGACACGCACCGCUUUAAGUCAGCAACACUCCUCUUCCCACAGAACAGGCGGCAGGCCCCCAGGGGCCUCUGCUGGGACUUGCCCUGCAGCCAUCUGUCCAGCUCUCAGACUGGGCUCCUCGCUCAGCUUUCCAAGCAGCAGAGAAUCAGCACCUUUAAUACCACCAGUGUCCCUGAGCACCCUGAUCCCAGGUAGACCCCUUUUCUGGGGAGACAAACAGACUCAGGCAGCUUCAGAGGGAGGAAUUCAAGGGAGAAGAGCAGGGCUGUCUGUCCGUUCACAGGUGGGGAACACCCCCUUGCCCUCAGCCUCCCACAGGGUGGUCUUCCACACAAGCUGCACAGAGGCGUUUCAGCUUCCCCCUGAAGACAUGGAGCCAACCAAUGGCUACUGGUCUUGUCACAGGUCCAGGCCCCCAUCUUCCAGGUUCAUGGUCACACUGCCUCCCUGGGUAAAGCCUCUUCAGGGAGAGGGGGCAGCAAGGCAAUGGAAGCAGGGGCAGCUGAGAGGGAGACAUCUGUGAGCCCACGGACCAGCAGGGCCACUAUAGCCAAAGGGAGUUGCCUUGCUGCCUAACCAGAGGAUGAUGCAGGAGCCAGGAGCACCUUCGUCCACUCCCUGACUUGCUACGUGUCCUCUGGGGGAGCCCUCAGCAUCGCUGCUGGCCCCAGCUCCCAUCCAGGGCCCUAGGUACAUAUGCAGGAGGGAUGCGGGGUUGGGGGGGUCACACCACCCCCAUAGGGUGCUGAGGCUGCAGGUGGGUGAGCUCACCCGAGGAGGGGAGUGAGCAGGUGGUCCCACGCCAAGGCCCAACCUCAGGAAAGGUGGUACCCUGGUGAGUGUGGUGUGCAGAGAGCCCAGAAGCUGCUGUGCUAGUUCCCUUCUUCCCUGCCCCACGAUGUGGUCAAGGUGAGGGGCCUUGGCUGAGGGAUGUCCAUGGGUCUCUGAAGCAAAGAGAGGGUUAGGAACCCCAGGGGAUGCAGGGGUCAAGGUGGGGAGGGGAGGCCUUCAC